Molecule: long non-coding RNA, 809 nt
Organism: Colossoma macropomum (tambaqui)
Lineage: Eukaryota; Metazoa; Chordata; Actinopteri; Characiformes; Serrasalmidae
Exons: 3
Source: RefSeq, a predicted model, not a curated record
UAUUUCAGUCUAUUUUCAUGUUAUGUUGAAUUUUGGGAAUAUUAUUUCAGCUAGUGUAAAAAGAAAGCUACUGUGAUUUCUCUCAGUUGACAUUUUACAUUCUUUGACAAAAUACAUGUAAUUCCAAAUAAUUAAUGUUUGCUUUAUUCCCUUCAGUCCCUCCAACUCCUGCUGAUUAUAUGGUUGAGAUUGAGAUUGACACAGUGGACGCAGCAGUGCUUAAUCAGCUGAGAACUCUUCUGAAGAACCUCAGUUUACCCUUCGGACUAAGUGACACUCAGAUCACUGAAUUCAACAUCACUACACGUAAUUGUUUAUUUGUGUAGCACUGUAGUUUUGUCUCCAGUAUGAACGAUUUGUCACUAGUUAUUGCUACAAUAUUUUGAUCAUUUCCUUAGAUUAUCUCAGGAAUUACAAAUAACACAUUAUUAUACGUUUGCAGCAAAGAUUACAACAUGGCUGCAACAAAAAAAUGCGUCUUCUGUUAAAUUAUUUUGUCGUGUUUCUUUUAUAGAGUGUCUUUUGAAUAAUACUGGAUACCAGUGCCGGUGUGAGGAUCAGUAUUUCUGGCCGUGUAACAAGUGUGCAGCAUAUGGACGCUGUGACAACACCCUUUCUAGCACAUGUGGAUGCAUCAGUGGUUUUCCAGAAGAUGGACAGUUCUGCCAAACACUGACAGAGCUGAAAAAUUUCACAUGUCCAGUUCCGACAGUCCCUCCAACUCCUGCUGAUUAUAUGGUUGAGAUCGAGAUUGACACAGUGGACGCAGCCGUGCUUAAUCAGCUGAGAACUGUUCUGAAGAACCUCAG